GGGGGUGUAGCUCAGAUGGGAGAGCACCUGCCUUGCACGCAGGGGGUCAGGAGUUCGAGCCUCCUCAUCUCCACCA
Molecule: transfer RNA, 76 nt
Filed under: Neobittarella massiliensis (ex Bilen et al. 2018)
Lineage: Bacteria; Bacillati; Bacillota; Clostridia; Eubacteriales; Oscillospiraceae
Also listed under: 1 other name
Description: tRNA-Ala
Rfam family: tRNA
About the family: Transfer RNA (tRNA) molecules are approximately 80 nucleotides in length. Their secondary structure includes four short double-helical elements and three loops (D, anti-codon, and T loops).
Source: RNAcentral